ACUCCGAGAUGAAAGGAAAAAAGGGAAGAUUUAGGCUUGAAACUCUUACGGAUAUAAAGCAAUGGAAAUUUGAUGAAUAUAUAACUAGAAGGCAAACAUGGAGAACCACUUUCAGAACAUAGGAAAUCAAAUCAAUCAACGUACGGCAAUCAACAUACGGUUUUAACGUAGCAGAUUAGAAACUCAAGAAUUUACCAAGAGGUGGUCGCUCUCAAGGAAUUAACACUGAUUUUCUGAAUAAUAACACAAUAUGCAUACUUAUGUAGCUUUUUGAUGGUAUAAUGACAUGAUAGAAUAUGAUUACAAUGUUGUAACUUUUUAAUGUUGUAAAAUUUUAUAACAUAUUAAUUAUGACAUAUAAACUAAUGAAAUCAUGUAACUUUUUGUUAAUAUAUGAAUAUUAUGUUUGGAUGUGAAAUAUAA
Gossypium arboreum is the source of this 423-nucleotide long non-coding RNA. RefSeq lists it as uncharacterized. The record is from RefSeq and is a predicted model, not a curated record. Lineage: Eukaryota; Viridiplantae; Streptophyta; Magnoliopsida; Malvales; Malvaceae. The transcript has 2 exons.